Molecule: ribosomal RNA, 513 nt
Filed under: uncultured bacterium
Lineage: Bacteria
Description: partial 16S ribosomal RNA
Rfam family: Bacterial small subunit ribosomal RNA
Source: RNAcentral
GACGAACGCUGGCGGCGUGCUUAACACAUGCAAGUCGAACGAAAAGAGGGAAAGAGCUUGCUCUUUCCGGAAUUGAGUGGCAAACGGGUGAGUAACACGUAAACAACCUGCCUUCAGGAUGGGGACAACAGACGGAAACGACUGCUAAUACCGAAUAAGUUCCAAGAGCCGCAUGGCCCAUGGAAGAAAAGGUGGCCUCUACCUGUAAGCUAUCGCCUGAAGAGGGGUUUGCGUCUGAUUAGCUGGUUGGAGGGGUAACGGCCCAACAAGGGGACGAUCAGUAGCCCGUCUGAGAGGAUGAACGGCCACACUGGAACUGAGACACGGUCCAGACCCCUACGGGAGGCAGCAGUGGGGAAUCUUCCGCAAUGGGCGAAAGCCUGACGGAGCAACGCCGGGUGAGUGAUGACGGCCUUCGGGUUGUAAAACUCUGUGAUCCGGGACGAAAAGGCAGAGUGCGAAGAACAAACUGCAUUGACGGUACCGGAAAAGCAAGCCACGGCUAACUACGUG